GAUGAAGGCCUUCGGGUCGUAAAACUCUGUCCUCAAGGAAGAUAAUGACGGUACUUGAGGAGGAAGCCCCGGCUAACUACGUGCCAGCAGCCGCGGUAAUACGUAGGGGGCUAGCGUUAUCCGGAUUUACUGGGCGUAAAGGGUGCGUAGGCGGUCUUUCAAGUCAGGAGUGAAAGGCUACGGCUCAACCGUAGUAAGCUCUUGAAACUGGGAGACUUGAGUGCAGGAGAGGAGAGUGGAAUUCCUAGUGUAGCGGUGAAAUGCGUAGAUAUUAGGAGGAACACCAGUUGCGAAGGCGGCUCUCUGGACUGUAACUGACGCUGAGGCACGAAAGCGUGGGGAGCAAACAGGAUUA
This 355-nucleotide ribosomal RNA is filed under the name Clostridioides difficile. RNAcentral describes it as "bacterial SSU rRNA". It matches the Rfam family "Bacterial small subunit ribosomal RNA", at positions 407 to 780 of the family's 1533-position model. Lineage: Bacteria; Bacillati; Bacillota; Clostridia; Peptostreptococcales; Peptostreptococcaceae. The record is from RNAcentral.